Molecule: ribosomal RNA, 465 nt
Filed under: Vreelandella stevensii
Lineage: Bacteria; Pseudomonadati; Pseudomonadota; Gammaproteobacteria; Oceanospirillales; Halomonadaceae
Description: partial 16S ribosomal RNA
Rfam family: Bacterial small subunit ribosomal RNA
Source: RNAcentral
CCUAGGGGUGGCAGCAGUGGGGAAUAUUGGACAAUGGGCGAAAGCCUGAUCCAGCCAUGCCGCGUGUGUGAAGAAGGCCUUCGGGUUGUAAAGCACUUUCAGUGGGGAAGAAAGCCUUGGGGCUAAUACCCUCGAGGAAGGACAUCACCCACAGAAGAAGCACCGGCUAACUCCGUGCCAGCAGCCGCGGUAAUACGGAGGGUGCGAGCGUUAAUCGGAAUUACUGGGCGUAAAGCGCGCGUAGGCGGUCUGAUAAGCCGGUUGUGAAAGCCCCGGGCUCAACCUGGGAACGGCAUCCGGAACUGUCAGGCUAGAGUGCAGGAGAGGAAGGUAGAAUUCCCGGUGUAGCAGUGAAAUGCGUAGAGAUCGGGAGGAAUACCAGUGGCGAAGGCGGCCUUCUGGACUGACACUGACGCUGAGGUGCGAAAGCGUGGGUAGCAAACAGGAUUAGAUACCCUAGUAGUC